GAUGAAGAACGUAGCGAAAUGCGAAAAGUAGUGUGAAUUGCAGAAUUCAGUGAAUCAUCGAAUCUUUGAACGCACAUUGCGCCCUGUGGUAUUCCGCAGGGCAUGCCUGUUCGAGCGUCAUUUCAACCCUCAAGCUCUGCUUGGUGUUGGGCCACGCCCUCGCGGCCGGCCCCAAAGCCAGUGGCGGCGCCGUCCGGCUCUAAGCGUAGUACAUCUCUCGCUCUAGGGCCCGGCGGCUGCCUGCCAGAACCCCAAACUCUUAUGGUUGACCUCGGAUCAGGUAGGGAUACCCGCUGAACUUAAGCAUAUCAAUAAGCGGAGGA
Molecule: unclassified non-coding RNA, 323 nt
Filed under: soil metagenome
Description: partial contains 5.8S ribosomal RNA, internal transcribed spacer 2, and large subunit ribosomal RNA
Rfam family: 5.8S ribosomal RNA (bases 1-120)
Source: RNAcentral